Molecule: ribosomal RNA, 450 nt
Filed under: uncultured bacterium
Lineage: Bacteria
Description: partial 16S ribosomal RNA
Rfam family: Bacterial small subunit ribosomal RNA
Source: RNAcentral
GAUGAAUGCUGGCGGCGUGCCUAACACAUGCAAGUCGAGCGGCAGCGAGGGGUGCUUGCACCCUGUCGGCGAGCGGCGAACGGCUGAGUAACGCGUAGGAAUUUGCCCCAAAGUGAGGAAUAACUGCCCGAAAGGGUAGCUAAUGCCGCAUAUGGUCUUCGGAUUAAAGGAUUUAUCCGCUUUGGGAGAAGCCUGCGUUGGAUUAGGUUGUUGGUAGGGUAAUGGCCUACCAAGCCGACGAUCCAUAGCUGGUCUGAGAGGAUGAUCAGCCAGACUGGAACUGAGACACGGUCCAGACUCCUACGGGAGGCAGCAGUGAGGAAUCUUCCACAAUGGGCGAAAGCCUGAUGGAGCAACGCCGCGUAAGGAUGAAGGCCUUCGGGUUGUAAACUUCUUUUAUGAGUGAAGAAUAUGACGGUAACUCAUGAAUAAGCACCGGCUAACUACGUG